Ictidomys tridecemlineatus (thirteen-lined ground squirrel) is the source of this 1024-nucleotide non-coding RNA. The record is from RefSeq and is a predicted model, not a curated record. NCBI's taxonomy places the organism in Eukaryota, Metazoa, Chordata, Mammalia, Rodentia, Sciuridae.
CAGCAUUGCAAAUGAAUGACUGAAUGAAUGACUAAACAUUUUUAAAUUUUUAAAAAAUUUAUCCCUAUUAUUGUAUUUCAAAUAUCUUAAUGUGUUAUGCUGUGAUACUUCUAAAAAAUAGAAAAAUAAAAAACUAUGGUCAGCAGCUCUGGCAUGUUACUUUCCAACCCAAUAUCCUUAUCCUCUAACUUCCUUUUUUGUCUCCAAAUGAGGAAGUCUGGUAAUCUGUUGGGACUGUAAUCCUGUCAACACUCACCAAUCUAAAGGAUCAGCUUUCAGCAAUGAAAUGACCUUGAGUGAAUUUCAGAGAGAUUAGCCAGGAGAGAGGAUUAAACACACUAUGUGAAUGCAGGGCCUGGAACAGAAUGGAGAGCGUGCAAGGGGACAUUGAUUCCUGGCAUCCCAUGGCUGCCCGGUGCGCAAGAUGUGACAAGCCAGACCCCAUAUGCUUACCUUACACCUUGGUGCGGAUAACGGAGGCAGAGAUGAGAGCGUAUCACCGUCUUCUAGGAAGCUGCGUCAGGCUAGAAUGUAGGGCACAAGAAGCACUUCCGGUGCUCAGAUCCUCCCUGUCCUCUGAAGCAGUGUGUGUCCAUGAUGUCAGCGGUGGCACAGCCCACAGACCUUCAUAACAUUUGGAUGCAGUCAUCUUUUCUUUUGAGGACAUAGACCAAGAGAUGUGGAGUUCCUCCUUGGGCCUGAGCAGUAUAAGAGGGUGGAUAUGCAGGACUACUGUGUCCCCUGCCAGCGCUGAGCUCUGGAUCAUGACAGAAGCACCUAUGUGGUCUUCCAUACAAAUGUUUAUAGGGGGAGAUUGUGCUGUGUGGAGCCCUCCAUAGGGCAGGGCCUGGGACAGGGAACACGAGGAAACUUUCUGGGAGGAUGAAAAUUUUCUGUAUCAUGAUUUGCAAUGAGGUUACAUCAGUGUAUAUAUUUGUCAAAAUUCAUCAAGCUGUACACCUAAGAUUUGUGCAUUUUAUUGCAUGUAAAUUAUUCUUCAAUAAAUAUACUAGUGCAAAAAAUA